This 495-nucleotide ribosomal RNA is filed under the name uncultured bacterium. RNAcentral's name for it is "partial 16S ribosomal RNA". It matches the Rfam family "Bacterial small subunit ribosomal RNA", at positions 28 to 507 of the family's 1533-position model. The record is from RNAcentral.
GAUGAACGCUGGCGGCGUGCCUAAUACAUGCCAGUAGAACGCUGAAGGAGGAGCUUGCUCUUCUGGAUGAGUUGCGAACGGGUGAGUAACGCGUAGGUAACCUGCCUGGUAGCGGGGGAUAACUAUUGGAAACGAUAGCUAAUACCGCAUGACAACAGUUAUUGCAUGAUAACUGUUUAAAAGGGGCAACUGCUCCACUACCAGAUGGACCUGCGUUGUAUUAGCUAGUUGGUGAGGUAACGGCUCACCAAGGCGACGAUACAUAGCCGACCUGAGAGGGUGAUCGGCCACACUGGGACUGGGACACGGCCCAGACUCCUACGGGAGGCAGCAGUAGGGAAUCUUCGGCAAUGGACGGAAGUCUGACCGAGCAACGCCGCGUGAGUGAAGAAGGUUUUCGGAUCGUAAAGCUCUGUUGUAAGAGAAGAACGAGUGUGAGAGUGGAAAGUUCACACUGUGACGGUAUCUUACCAGAAAGGGACGGCUAACUACGUG